ACAGAAAUGGUUUGAAAAACCCUACCUUACUGAGUUCACCUCCUUUCUUUUGAGUUUAGAAUUUAUAGCAGAGAGGAGUUAGCGGAACGCAGUGGACAGAGGUUCUAUUGUGAGAAGAACCGGGUGACAGUCAUUAGCUGUGUAACCUUGAGCAAGUUACCCAUCUUCCUUGAGUGGAAAGAUGGCAACCUUCCAGAUCCGUUAUCUCAUCUGUAAAGGGUGGUGAUGAUGACUCUUGCUGCCCUCUCAGAGGGGUGAAGAUGCUUUAUAAAUGAUGAAAUCUGAAGGUGUCUUGUAAACUGUAAAACUCCAUACACAUUGUUGAUGCCUGCCUGUGCAAGAGCUGGAAAUGACAAGGCAUCAGUUUCAGAUGCAGUAAUAUCCCACCCCUACCCCAUCCGAGAAGAUCUGCUGACAGGAGGGUCUGCGUCUCAGGCAUGACUUUCCACCAGCAGUUCAAGAAACACAAGAGUUCUCAGAGUUUCUGGGAUGAAGGUCAGUUCCCUGGGGAGCUGAGAGGCGCUGCUCAGCAAGCAAGGAGUUUGGCCCACUGCGUGCCUGUCAUCUUUGCAGGUUCCCAAGAGUUUAAUGAUGGUGCCACAAGUUUGCACACUGCUGCUGGCUGAAACUGUCAAUACUCAUCAGAUUUCAAAGUGGAACUGUAGACCCUGUGCCUUCGAAGAACUGGGUUCGGGUAUCUGUAGAGUUGAGCACAGACUUAAGAGACCAUCAGUGAGGAAAGGCCUUACAGGGUGAAACUGCUCACAAUGAUUAAAAGUGGGGAAGUGAGAACAGCUGUCUGGGAAAAUAACGCCACUCAGCGAUGGGAAUCGGGAUGGUGAGGGGAGAAAUGGAGAGCUGAGAUUGUGAGCAGACAGGAUGGCCAGGCGACCACCAGAGCUAGCAAGCUGAGCGUGGACAGAUCAGCUGCUGCCAGCCGUGACCACUCUUGGGGAGGAAUUCUAGGAAACCAAGGGCGGGGCUCGGCAGUGAGGUUUGGAAGAGGUGAGCUAAGGAGACUGGUACCCCAGAGAACAGUCUCCAGCCUCUUACAUUUUUCAGAUUUUUUUCAAAGCUUUCUUCUUCUUAUCAAACUUUACUCACUUAGAAACCAUUCUAGAAAUGUGGUAUCACAUUUAUUUACAACCUAAAGGUAACAAUUCCUGCAUACUUUCCCUUUCAUGACAUAUUACAUUAAACAGGAUGAGCCUUUAGAAAAAAAAAAACUGCUAAGUACAUCUUUGGGGGAUGAAGCUGUAUUUGUCAAGAACUAUUACCUGUAGCUAAUGUUCUCAAACUUGAGCUAAGAUCAGCAUCAACUGGAGGGCUUGUUAAAACAGCAAGUGCUGGCCUACACCCCAGUGUCUGAUACGGUAGCUCUGGGGUGAGGCAUUUCUAACAAGCUCCCAGGUGAUGCUGAUGCUGUGGUCCACAGACCAUACUUUGAGAGCUACUGCCCUAGAGAACUAGGGAUUUUUGACAGGAAGAGAAAUAAAAAUGCCAAGACCCUCCAGUGGGCAAAUACAUUCCCUCACCAUUAGCAUCCCAGUCUUUUAAGUUGAAGUGCAGAAAGGCUACUCCUCUCAAGCAGAUCACGUGGCUACUAGUCAGUUUCUCACUAUGUGGAAAUAUUCAUAGAAACGCUAAGGGUAAUCUGAAAAGGAAUCGUAGCAUGGUUCACUGAACAAGAGCCACAUUUUCCAUCAGAUUUGGGACAUUCUAGAUCAGUGCUUUCAAUAGAAAAAUGAUGCAAGCCUCAUAUAAUUUUAAAUUUUAAAAGUAAAACUAAGUGAAAUUAAUUGUAAUAAUUUUAUUUAAUCCAGUAGAUGCAAAAUAUUUCAACAUGUAGGCACUGUAAAAAAACUUAUUCAGAUAUUUUACGUUAUUUUCUUAUACUGUCUUCAAAAUCGAGUGUGCAUAUAACAGCACCUCUCAGUUUGUACCAGCCGCAUUUCAAGUGCCUGAUAGUCACAUAUGGCUCGUGGCUACCUCAUUGGACAGAGGAAUUCCAGAUGAUAUUUUCUUAAUGAGAUCAAAGGCAAAUCCAAUUUCUUAGUGUCAAGUACUUUUAAUAAUUAUUUUACCCCACGUCAUCAAGCUCCAUCAGACUCCCACGACUCUCCCCCUCUGACCACCCCUGAGAGAAGCUCUCUGUGCCAGAGAGUGAUAAUUGGUCCCAACUGUCCCUUCUUCCCCCUCUUCUAUAGUAAUGGCAAUUUUAGCUAGACAUGUGGCUACCCAGAAUAAACGUUACAUUUUCCCUGCAGCUAGGUGAAGCCAUGAAACUACUUUUUGGUCAGUGAGACAUAAACAUA
RNAcentral lists this long non-coding RNA (2315 nucleotides) under Equus caballus (horse). Its description in RNAcentral is "lncRNA (ENSECAG00000047431.1)". Lineage: Eukaryota; Metazoa; Chordata; Mammalia; Perissodactyla; Equidae. The record is from RNAcentral.